Molecule: ribosomal RNA, 497 nt
Filed under: uncultured bacterium
Lineage: Bacteria
Description: partial 16S ribosomal RNA
Rfam family: Bacterial small subunit ribosomal RNA
Source: RNAcentral
GAUGAACGCUGGCGGCGUGCCUAAUACAUGCAAGUCGAGCGAACAGACGAGGAGCUUGCUCCUCUGACGUUAGCGGCGGACGGGUGAGUAACACGUGGAUAACCUACCUAUAAUACUGGGAUAACUUCGGGAAACCGGAGCUAAUACCGGAUAAUAUAUUGAACCGCAUGGUUCAAUAGUGAAAUACGGUUUUUCUGUCACUUAUAGAUGGAUCCGCGCCGCAUUAGCUAGUUGGUAAGGUAACGGCUUACCAAGGCGACGAUGCGUAGCCGACCUGAGAGGGUGAUCGGCCACACUGGAACUGAGACACGGUCCAGACGCCUACGGGAGGCAGCAGUAGGGAAUCUUCCGCAAUGGGCGAAAGCCUGACGGAGCAAAGCCGCGUGAGUGAUGAAGGUCUUCGGAUCGUAAAACUCUGUUAUUAGGGAAGAACAAAUGUGUAAGUAACUAUGCACGUCUUGACGGUACCUAAUCAGAAAGCCACGGCUAACUACGUG